Molecule: ribosomal RNA, 253 nt
Filed under: uncultured Eubacteriales bacterium
Lineage: Bacteria; Bacillati; Bacillota; Clostridia; Eubacteriales
Description: uncultured Clostridiales bacterium partial 16S ribosomal RNA
Rfam family: Bacterial small subunit ribosomal RNA
Source: RNAcentral
UACGUAGGGGGCAAGCGUUAUCCGGAUUUACUGGGUGUAAAGGGAGCGUAGACGGUAAUGUAAGUCUGAUGUGAAAGCCCGAGGCCCAACCACGGGACUGCUCUGGAAACUGCGGGGCUGGAGUGCAGGAGGGGUAAGCGGAAUUCCUAGUGUAGCGGUGAAAUGCGUAGAUAUUAGGAGGAACACCGGUGGCGAAGGCGGCUUACUGGACUGUAACUGACGUUGAGGCUCGAAAGCGUGGGGAGCAAACAGG